Molecule: ribosomal RNA, 253 nt
Filed under: uncultured bacterium
Lineage: Bacteria
Description: partial 16S ribosomal RNA
Rfam family: Bacterial small subunit ribosomal RNA
Source: RNAcentral
UACGAAGGGGGCUAGCGUUGCUCGGAAUUACUGGGCGUAAAGGGCGCGUAGGCGGAUACUUAAGUCGGGGGUGAAAGCCCGGGGCUCAACCUCGGAAUUGCCUUCGAUACUGGGUAUCUAGAGUAUGGGAGAGGUGUGUGGAACUCCGAGUGUAGAGGUGAAAUUCGUAGAUAUUCGCAAGAACACCAGUGGCGAAGGCGGCUCACUGGCCCGGUACUGACGCUGAGGUGCGAAAGCGUGGGGAGCAAACAGG